This 379-nucleotide long non-coding RNA is filed under the name Homo sapiens (human). RNAcentral's name for it is "HSALNT0300905". Lineage: Eukaryota; Metazoa; Chordata; Mammalia; Primates; Hominidae. The record is from RNAcentral.
CAAAGCACUGGCAAGAAGCCUCCCAUGCAGGAUGAAGCCAAGGAAGAAGAGAAGAGAGGAAGGACACGCCCAUUAACCAAAGGACCCAAAACAUAUCUCAAGGAGCUCAUGAAGUCAUCCUCAUGCACACAGUUUCCCAGGUGUCAGAUCUGUUUGGUAUCUGGCUGCAGGGCCACAAACCUAAGAAGAACAUCAUGUGAGGAUGAAGGCAGAGAGCAGGGUGAUGCAGCUGAAGCCAAGGACACUGAAGACUUCCUGCAAACCCCCAGAAGCUGGGGCAGAGGCCCUCCAGUCUCCAGAAGAGGCCAACCAUGCUGAUACCUUGACCUUGGACUCCUAGCCCCAGAACUAUGAGAAAUAAAUUUCUGUUAUUUAAGUC